RNAcentral lists this long non-coding RNA (782 nucleotides) under Musa acuminata (dwarf banana). Its description in RNAcentral is "long non-coding RNA (MACU_LNC007936)". The record is from RNAcentral. Lineage: Eukaryota; Viridiplantae; Streptophyta; Magnoliopsida; Zingiberales; Musaceae.
UCAAAUUUGAUGAUCAAAAUUUCCCAUCACCAACCACCCAGUGUGGUAUGCAUGUAGCAUCCAAUAAUUCACCAUAUGCAAUUAUUUUAGUGGCUGCCAUUGAAGGUGAAUGUGUAUAUCAACGAGAGAAGGACCACCUUGCAGCGUCCCAACGAAGAGGUUGGCAACUGUGGACAUGCAGCAUCUGGGUCUAUUCGUUUUAAUGCCUGGCCAUUGAAUGCGACUGCGGAUGUGGAUGACAAGAAGGCCGCCUGCGAAGACCAUCACGCAUGCAAACAGCAGGUUGGAAACAGUGGAUAUGCAAGAAGAAGGCCACCGAUUAAGACCAUCAUGCAUGAGAACCUCUACUGUUAACCCAAUCAUAUUCUUCCAUCUUGUCAUAACAUUAGGGUUUUCUCUCUUCCUUUUCACCCUCUUUGAUCACUAUUUCAUCGCUCGUGUUGUUGCCCUGCACAUGAUUUCUUUGUAAAGGGAUGGUCAACGUAACCUUAGAUUGAAUUGCCAUGUUCUCACACAAGGUUAAUGAACCCUUCUGAAAGAAUAACCACUCGUGCAAGGCGAAGUCCAUAUUGUCUGGCGCGGAGAAGACUGGAACCAGACGGUCCUCACAAGGCUCAGGUGCAUGAACAGAGCCAAAGCUAUGUGUUUCUAACGUAAGUCUAUAUUGAUGGAAGAAGAACCCGUUUUUCUGCAAACGAGGAAGACCUAGUAGCAGCGGAUGAUAAUGACAGUGACUCACGGGAUAGGGUUUCCCAAAGCUCUUACGAGCUUAGCCAUCGAUG